This 511-nucleotide ribosomal RNA is filed under the name uncultured bacterium. RNAcentral describes it as "bacterial SSU rRNA". It matches the Rfam family "Bacterial small subunit ribosomal RNA", at positions 17 to 518 of the family's 1533-position model. The record is from RNAcentral.
UUAUGGCUCAGGAUGAACGCUAGCUACAGGCUUAACACAUGCAAGUCGAGGGGCAGCAUGGGAUUAGCUUGCUAAUCUUGAUGGCGACCGGCGCACGGGUGAGUAACGCGUAUCCAACCUUCCCCCUACUCAGGCAUAGCCCGGUGAAAACCGGAUUAACUCCUGAUAGUUUCACUAGAUGGCAUCUGACGGUGAAUAAAGCUUUGCGGUAAGGGAUGGGGAUGCGUCUGAUUAGCUUGUUGGCGGGGUAACGGCCCACCAAGGCGACGAUCAGUAGGGGUUCUGAGAGGAAGGUCCCCCACAUUGGAACUGAGACACGGUCCAAACUCCUACGGGAGGCAGCAGUGAGGAAUAUUGGUCAAUGGGCGCGAGCCUGAACCAGCCAAGUAGCGUGCAGGAAGACGGCCCUAUGGGUUGUAAACUGCUUUUGUAUGGGAAUAAAGUCAGGGACGUGUCCCUGUUUGCAUGUACCAUAAGAAUAAGGACCGGCUAAUUCCGUGCCAGCCGCCGC